This 854-nucleotide long non-coding RNA is filed under the name Camelus dromedarius (Arabian camel). RNAcentral's name for it is "lncRNA (ENSCDRG00005017758.1)". Lineage: Eukaryota; Metazoa; Chordata; Mammalia; Artiodactyla; Camelidae. The record is from RNAcentral.
CCACACUUCAUAAAGACAUUAAAGCGAAACAGAUUAUGAGUUUUCAAACAUCUUGCCAAAAUCAGGGCACAGGCAAAUCCUCCUUGUCUUCAAAUAAUCCAUCAAGCCAUGGAGCGGGAGGCAAAAUAUCUUUAAUACGAUUUUCUAACUAUGACUAACUAAUUUGCAUAUUCUUCUGUGAGGGAUAAAACCGAAAUGAGUUGAUUGGAAUGCGUUUGGUACUUUAGAUCAUUGCUCCUUAAAAAGGCUGACAAGUCUUCCCAUGUUAAAAUCUGGGAUCAAAAACCUUUUGAAGAAUUAAAGUAUUUGCUAAAAUCCCCUCAACUGUCAUGUGCUACCAAAAAAGAAAAAAAGAACUAACAUUUGUUUGGGAAAGAGACUUGUCUAAGAUGGGACAUUUUAAGAACCAGGCAUCUAUUAAAUUGCUGAAAUGUUUUAUCUUUUCUAUAAUUUCAGAGAUGCAGGGGAGUCCCCAGGGGGGACCCUGUUUCAUCCGUGGAAAAUGCAAGUGGGGCCGCUACAAGUCCCCGGCGACUGAACGCCCACACCAGCUGCAGAAUCGACGAGGCCGUCCCUUCCUGGAGAUGCAGAUCACGGAGGUGGCUCCCCUCCCAUCCUGUCAGCUCCUGAGCUGGAUGAAGGACACCCAGACAGGUGCGGGCGGCCCGGCCAGACAGCACUGCGUGGAUUUCGGGACGGCGGAGGAUCGAGGGACUCAGAUGCGGCGAGCAGUGAGGCCGUCAGGCAAGACGGACAGCCUUGCGCCAGUUAAGGAUUCAACGGUGUUCGUACGAUGGAUGUCCCCCCCUCCAGCUCCGAUAAGCACCCCGGGGGCAGCACAGGGCCGUCCGUAA